GCUGCCUAUGAUACGCCUGCACUCCACCAGAUGUUGUUUACAUUUUAGUGCAAUCACUAUUCAGGUACAAGUUAAUUUGACACCUUCGUGCACGCACUGAAUGUAGCUGUUGAAUAGCAUCAGGGUUGCUUUCAUGAUCUUCAACAAUGCAUGGUGUUCUCGAGUUGACUCGGUGUCCCGACACAAAGUUUGACGUUACGGACCCGCUGGGCUUAGCUUUCAGGAUGUGAAUUUCAGAACGCAAGGUUGUUGAUGCUUGAGAUCCUCCUAAACACUUACCUGGGGCACGUUGAAGUGUGCUCUGCUCAAAUGCUGUUGCACUGUGGAACAUGGUAUCCUCAAACCAAACAUCUAAUUGGAGUAACACGUUUCGAUUAAACUGCUUCAGUGCAUUUCCGUCCCGGUCAACUUUUGAAGAAUAUCUCCAUUAUGUAACAGAAGCUUUAUUUUUGGUCGAUGAUCUAUUUCAAUGUUAA
This is a long non-coding RNA of Photinus pyralis (common eastern firefly), 476 nucleotides long. RefSeq lists it as uncharacterized. The transcript is spliced from 3 exons. The record is from RefSeq and is a predicted model, not a curated record. NCBI's taxonomy places the organism in Eukaryota, Metazoa, Arthropoda, Insecta, Coleoptera, Lampyridae.